RNAcentral lists this long non-coding RNA (471 nucleotides) under Chinchilla lanigera (long-tailed chinchilla). Its description in RNAcentral is "lncRNA (ENSCLAG00000022707.1)". Lineage: Eukaryota; Metazoa; Chordata; Mammalia; Rodentia; Chinchillidae. The record is from RNAcentral.
UAUGGCAUAUGCAUAGCUGAUGAUCCCAAGCUUUGCCUUUAGGCUUGUCUUGUUGAAGCUGGACUUUACUUCUACUUUUAUCAGUUUUGCUGUUUCCUGUGACAUGUUAAAGAACUGAAGGCUCCAGAAAUCCACAGAAGUAAUUUCUCUGUGACCUAUGGACCAAUAAUAUAUUUGUCAUUACAGAACUCUCUUGCUUCUGUAAAGUUAUGCACCAGUGCCAUUUUUGCUACUUCUGAGAAGUCUUUCAUCAUCCCUUCAAUUGAGAUUCAAUUUCCUUACUCUAUGUUGGCCUGUCUUAUAUAUUCAUGACUAAUAAUUCACGAUUAACAAUAACUACAAGACAGUUAUAAAUAUAUUGGUAGGUAAUUUAACUCUCUCAAAUCUUUGAAGCAAAUCUUGUGUGUGUGUGUGUGUGUGUGUGUGUGUGUGUGUGUGUGUGUGUGUGUGUUUGUGGUCCAGGGAUUCAAC